AGAGCGAACGCUGGCGGCAGGCCUAAUACAUGCAAGUCGAACGGAUCCUUCGGGAUUAGUGGCGGACGGGUGAGUAACACGUGGGAACGUGCCUUUUGGUUCGGAACAACUCAGGGAAACUUGAGCUAAUACCGAAUGUGCCCUUCGGGGGAAAGAUUUAUCGCCAUUAGAGCGGCCCGCGCCUGAUUAGCUAGUUGGUGGGGUAAUGGCCCACCAAGGCUACGAUCAGUAGCUGGUCUGAGAGGAUGAUCAGCCACACUGGGACUGAGACACGGCCCAGACUCCUACGGGAGGCAGCAGUAGGGAAUCUUGCGCAAUGGGCGAAAGCCUGACGCAGCCAUGCCGCGUGAAUGAUGAAGGUCUUAGGAUUGUAAAAUUCUUUCAGCGGGACGAUAAUGACGGUACCCGCAGAAGAAGCCCCGGCUAACUUCGUGCCAGCAGCCGC
This 445-nucleotide ribosomal RNA is filed under the name uncultured bacterium. Its description in RNAcentral is "SSU rRNA". It matches the Rfam family "Bacterial small subunit ribosomal RNA", at positions 26 to 518 of the family's 1533-position model. The record is from RNAcentral.